GAUGUGAUUUGAGUAAUAAAAUGUCUGUUAUUAAACUAUUGUUUAUUUAAGUAAUUAAAGGAUUAUUUGUUUAUAGUAAAUUUAUUGAACUAAUAUUUUUAGAUAUAGAUAAUUAGUAUUGUGAAAGAAAUUUUUAAAUAUUAAAAAAGAAAAAAUUAUUUUUUGUACCUUGUGUAUCAGGGUUUAUUUAAAAAGUUCCAAAAUUUUGGUUUUCUCGAAUUUGGAAGAGCUAUUUAGUUAUGAUUUUUAUUGUGGCAAUAAUAUUGAUAAUAAUUAAAUCGAAGUGAAAUGUUAAUCGUUUCCAAAUAUAUCUAGUUUUUUGAGAAAGAAAUUUAAUUUCUUGCUGUUUAUGAAAAUAAUUUUUAUUGGUUAGAAUUAUUUUUAGCAGAAGUAAUAAUCUAGGGGUUGAGCUUUAGAUUAAAUUUAUAUAAUAAGUUUUUUUUAUUUUAAAUUAGUAGGAUUUGUAGUGUCUGCUUAGUGAUUUAUAUCUUGAUUUGUGAAAAAUAAGAUUUUUUAAAUUUGUUUAUAUUUUUUAUUGAAAUAUGAAUUUUAAUUUUGAUUUAUUCAGAAAUAAUGAUAAAAUUAGUAUAAUAAGUUUUUUUUAUUUUACAGAGUUUAAGGUUUAAUAAAGGAACUCGGCAAAAUUAAUUCUCACCUGUUUAUUAAAAACAUGGCCUUUUGAUUAUAAUUUAAGGUCUAACCUGCCCAAUGAGUUUUGAAUGGCCGCGGUAUACUGACCGUGCAAAGGUAGCAUAAUCAUUAGUUUUUUAAUUGAAAGCUUGUAUGAAAGGUUGAAUGAGGAAUUAACUGUCUCUAUUAAAAUUUAAUAGAAUUUUAUUAAUAUGUAAGAAGGCAUAUAUUUUUAUAAAAGACGAGAAGACCCUAUAGAGUUUUAUAGUUAAGGAUAAAAGAACAAUUGGAAUAUUUAAUUUAAUUUUUUUUGACUAUUUAGUUGGGGUGAUUGGAAUAAUUUGAUUAACUUUUCUUUUUAAAUAAAUACUGAUAAGUAUUUUAUUGAUCCUUUUUAAAGAUUAAAAGAAAAAAUUACCUUAGGGAUAACAGCGUUAUUUUUCUAGAGAGUUCUUAUCGAAAGAAGAGUUUGCGACCUCGAUGUUGGAUUAAAAUUAAGGUUUGGUGAAGGGGCUAAACUUUUAGGUCUGUUCGACCUUUAAAAUUUUACAUGAUCUGAGUUUAAACCGGCGUGAGCCAGGUUGGUUUCUAUCUUUAUUAUUUUAAUAUUUUUUAGUACGAAAGGACCAAAGAUUUACUAUAAUAGUUUUAUGAAGAAUAUUAUUGUUACUUUGGCAGAAAAGUGUGAUAGAUUUAGAAUCUUUUUAUAUAGCUUAUAGCUAUAGGUAA
RNAcentral lists this ribosomal RNA (1359 nucleotides) under Xylosandrus morigerus. Its description in RNAcentral is "16S ribosomal RNA". The stretch from base 866 to 1227 matches the Rfam family "Archaeal large subunit ribosomal RNA", at positions 2151 to 2715 of the family's 2987-position model. The record is from RNAcentral. Lineage: Eukaryota; Metazoa; Arthropoda; Insecta; Coleoptera; Curculionidae.